Long non-coding RNA from Triplophysa dalaica, 2323 nucleotides. RefSeq lists it as uncharacterized. Lineage: Eukaryota; Metazoa; Chordata; Actinopteri; Cypriniformes; Nemacheilidae. The record is from RefSeq and is a predicted model, not a curated record. The transcript is spliced from 3 exons.
GCCUAUAUAUAUAUUUUACGCAUUGACGUCACUCUUCCACUUGAACACGCCGGGACACGCCCCCCUUGAGCGCCUGGACACGUUCCCCUGAGAACACCCGGUUGUGAUGACGCAUGAGUUGAACUACGGCAGAUGAGAUGGCCAUUCUUUAUGUUCUUUUUGAAGACUUUAUGUGGUGAUUCCACAGAAAGGGGCGGGCACUUGUCAAUCAAGAAGCUCCCCUGAGUAUUGCAUGACCUGCACCCAAGGUCAGUGACAUGGUCAAGUUUUUUAUAGCGCUUUUUACCAUUUUCUUGUUACGUAGCAGUUGUACAUGAGAAACAUUGACUAUAAGCAAAAAAAACAUUUAGUUAUACAUGUAAAAACAAGAAAAGGUGAACACACAGAAGACAGACACACCCACAUACAAAAUACUCCACACAAACAAUAUGCACUAGUACUAUCACACUGUGACAUAGACACACACAUACAAAUGCACACACGGACGCGCACACACAGACAAGCAUGCACACACAGACACACGCGUACACACAUGUGCAGUGAAAUGCACACAUUUAAGAUAAAGGAGAGAGAAACACAUGUCAAAUAUUAAACAGACUAUACAUUCUUAUUUGCAAUAUUAAUUAAGUAAAACUUAAAAAAUUCUAGAGCAGCCCACCCUGCCAGGCAAAUAGUGCAAAAGCAGUAUACAACGGUGGCAAAACUCAGGAGAACCCAUGCCCAACCAGGGGAUUCCAGUUCCCCUCUGGCAAAAGCAGCAGCCUCUGCAAAACACAACAAGGCUAAAUAAAAAUAAAUACAAUUUGUAAUAAGGUAAAUUAAAGAUUUAAGAUUAUCAUUAAUAAUCUAGGGGGGGCACGGUGGUUUAGUGGUUAGCACGUUCGCCUCACACCUCCAGGGUUGGGGGUUCGAUUCCCGCCUCCGACUUGUGUGUGUGGAGUUUGCAUGUUCUCCCCGUGCCUCGGGGGUUUCCUCCGGGUACUCCGGUUUCCUCCCCUGGUCCAAAGACAUGCAUGGUAGGUUGAUUGGUAUCUCUGGAAAAAUUGUCCGUAGGGUGUGAGUGCGUGAGUGAAUGAGUGAGUGUGUGUGCCCUGCGAUGGGUUGGCACUCCAUCCAGGGUGUAUCCUGCCUUGAUGCCCGAUGACUCCUGAGAUAGGCGCAGGCUCCCCGUGACCCGAGGUAGUUCGGAUAAGCGGUAGAAAAUGGAUGGAUGGAUUAAUAAUCUAAAAGCAUUUGUCAUUUUGUAGUGAAGACGUGUCAAGUCGCCGCGUCUUUCUUUAUCCAGCUCUAUCAUCUCAGCUCUUUUCAGGUCCCGGCUUCCCAUUCUCCCCAGGUCCGGCCAUGAACUGCCCGAUGUGGUAACCUUGGAACAAUGAGGCAUGACAUCUGAGAGAGAGUUCUGUUCUGAACUCUUUGAUGUAACAAGUAGACCAGUUGUUGUUUGAAGCGUUCCAGGUUCCGGUUGAUCUAACUAAUGUCUAAACCCUCAAAGGAUUUAUAUCAUGGAAGUGUUGUGUAUGGAAGAUUAAAAAGAUGCGCCUAACUGACAGAAUGUGUCUGCCUCCAGGACAGUGCAGGGAAGACCGUUCCAAAGUUUAGGUGCUAGGUAGGAAAAGGAUCUACCACCUGCACUUGAUUUUGAAAUUCUAGGUAUUACCAACUGACAGGACGCCUGAGAGCGUAAUGCACAUGAAGGACUGUAAUUCAAGAGAGAGAAAAAGUGACCUUUUUUUUAAGAUAUGAUGACCCAUGCCCGAAAUGUGAUCUCUGCAUUUAAUCCAUCCAGUGAGUAGUGAUCACAUGCACAGCAAGUUGUGAACACACAUACACACAGAGCAGUGGGCAGCGAUCACUGCAGCACCUGGGGAGCAAGAAGAGAGAAACAUCAAACAUGUAGGAUCUGUGGUGCGAAAGCCAGGCGGUUACGUCAUCGUGGAGGGACAUCAUGACUGAAUAUUUAAGGUUACUGGUUUAGGAGUGACGGGCAUUCCAUUAUUCUCAUAUACUGGAUAAAAAUCAAGAAGAAAGUGAUGAAGCUUGUUAAACAAUCACAAUUUUUCUGCCAAAACAACAUUGAUUAUUUUACCACAAUUCUAACUGUACAAUUGUUUCUUUAAUGAUUCAUCAGGAUAGAAGAAAAUCUUUGUUUCAUUGUGCUACAAAUUGGAAAAUAUGUGUCUUAAGCUGAUUUAAUAAACCUAAUCAGCAGAUAUAAAAUGCAAUUAUUGACGGACAAAAGUGAAAGAAUAGUACACAUUUCUAAUCCUGUUUACAUUAACCAAACUCUGUGAACUAAAGUAUUAAUAAACUAUUUCCAGGGAUG